GUUUGUGGCUCAGAGGUAAAGUGCUUGCCUAGUAUGUGCGGGACCCUGGGUUUGAUCCUCAGCAACACA
RNAcentral lists this transfer RNA (69 nucleotides) under Marmota monax (woodchuck). RNAcentral describes it as "tRNA.Thr". The record is from RNAcentral. Lineage: Eukaryota; Metazoa; Chordata; Mammalia; Rodentia; Sciuridae.